UGAUGGGACUCUGAAGAGACCGUUUGUGGUCAUAACGGCACCGAAGGAGAAAUUGCUCAGCAAGAAGCUCUCAGGUAUAACAGACAGAGAUUGUAUG
Molecule: non-coding RNA, 97 nt
Filed under: Clostridiales bacterium
Lineage: Bacteria; Bacillati; Bacillota; Clostridia; Eubacteriales
Description: Glycine sequence
Rfam family: Glycine riboswitch aptamer
About the family: This family represents the bacterial glycine riboswitch. Glycine riboswitches usually consist of two metabolite-binding aptamers domains with similar structures in tandem.
Source: RNAcentral